UACAGAGGGGGCAAGCGUUGUUCGGAAUUACUGGGCGUAAAGGGCGCGUAGGCGGCCUGUUAAGUCGAACGUGAAAACCCAGGGCUCAACCCUGGGCCUGCAUUCGAUACGGGCAGACUAGAGUACGGCAGGGGAGACUGGAAUUCCUGGUGUAGCGGUGAAAUGCGCAGAUAUCAGGAGGAACACCGGUGGCGAAGGCGGGUCUCUGGGCCGAAACUGACGCUGAGGAGCGAAAGCGUGGGGAGCGAACAGG
This 253-nucleotide ribosomal RNA is filed under the name uncultured bacterium. Its description in RNAcentral is "partial 16S ribosomal RNA". It matches the Rfam family "Bacterial small subunit ribosomal RNA", at positions 524 to 776 of the family's 1533-position model. The record is from RNAcentral.